UUGGCUUUUAUUUAUAUAACGAAACAUUUUAUUUUCAAUUCAAUUAAAUAACAAUAUAUUAAAAAACAUGCUGACCUAUAUACAUUAACAGAACAAAGAUUGUCGGAUCAAUGUCGAGUAAUUUUAAGAAGAAAUCUUGCCCCAACAGCACGUAUAGGAUGAAUUAAAGAAGAAAUACGUGUAAUUGGUUAUAUGAUACAGAGUGAAAAUACUCAAAUAGAAGACGCAACUAGCAGUGGAAAUGGUUAUGAAAUCGUUGAUAUAACCACGACCACAACUCAAUCUCAUGUACAACCAAUCGACCUGAAUAUACAUAAUACAGAGGAAUGAAUCCAACACUUAGGCCGAAAAUACCGAAAACCGAUAACUUCUUUCAACUGCAACACAUCCUCAAAAUAUUGAACAAAAGCAUAAUGAAGUCGAAAAUAUAGAAGAACUUGUACAGUACAUAAGGAGAAUUGGUACAACAGACAAAUUGAGAAGUAAUCUUAAUCCAAAAAGUUCACAAAAAAGUUAAUGCAAUUAACUUCACCCAUAACGAUGCCAUAAACACUUUGACAUCAAAACUAUCAAACUUAGCGAGUAGAUUACGGAAGUAUAAGAAAUGUGAACAGAAAAAAAGAAAACUAAUCUUUUACUACAAAUGAGAAAUAUUUAUUGAAAACUAAACGUUAAAGAUCCAAGAGAAAGUUGUAAUGUCUCUUCUAAUAAGGAUGAGUUUGCAACAAUUUUGAAGGCAAUUAAUGUCCUUACCUAAAGGUUAUAAUCACAGGGUUGUGUAGCGAAGCAAAAAAUCACAGAAUAUAAGUCAUUAUUCAUACGAAUGAAUAUUGUAGAAGUGAAAAUAAUCUCAAAACUGCAUUAAAAAAUUGUAAAAGUGCAAAGUACUAGGCUCAGUUUAAGUUUAAUCUCCUCCUUAAAGGAACGAUUGCGAUAUAUAACAUAAUAACUAUGCAAAAAGAAUCUGAUUCAAAAGAACAAAUCAUAACAUAUUGUAUAAUUUUUAAUCGCGCCUACAACAUAUAUAUGGUGUACAAAUUCAAUCGUACGGAUCAUAAACAAACGAGAUAUUGAAAUUGGAAAAUCAACAAAAUUCUUCAAUUGAAAUGCAAAGGCACAUUCGACAGUGUUAUCUUACUAAUGCUCUGAUUUAGUAUCUACGUGUUCGCAUUCGUUUAUUUUGCUGCUGCAAUGCUGAUAACGAUUCUCCUACCAAAUUAUGCACUUAAUUGCAUAUUAACAGUUUUAAAUUUAAUAUUUGAUGGCUGCGAUUGCAGGUCAGCUUUCAAGGAACAAUUCAGUGAAUUGAUGUAGUUCAAGACGGCCCAUCUCGAAGUGGCGCAAAGCUAUAACCAAAGCUGUGCUCAAGGCCAUGAACUGUGGAAUAAAGUAGACUGUAAAUUGAAUUCAAAAUAACGGGAUGCUGGCGAAAAAUUUGGGCGGACCACAAGUAUCGAACAAAGAAGAAGACGAACCAUAGCAAAAAGUCUUUGAAACAGCUUAGAGGAAGACCGAAGGAAGGAGUAGAAUUGACUGACAAGGAGGAGAAAGUUGCAGAGCUAGCAAAUUUGAAGGCAACGUCGACGGAGUUAAAGGGUCACUGAAUUUGCCGCUGCGAUCAAAUCGUGUGUUUUGCUCCAUCAGUAGAGUAGCGGAGAGUAAAAUUUUAAUGUGUACUUCUUUGUUUGUUUUUAAAUGUUUUUCAUGUGUUUAGAAGCCUUAGUACAAUAGGUGUACCAUUCUUCGAAGAUAUGCCGAAUACAGCUAAGGAGCGCAAGUACGCGUAUGUCAUUUAUUACUUAGGAAGUUCAACAUUUAUUUUCUAUUUAUUGGAUGUAGCUGGCAAUAAAGGCCAAGAAGUUUAUUUAAAAAGAAACUAUCACCAGCACUUCUUAAAGCAUCGCUGGAUUCAAUUGGUUGUAAUACAUAUUUGAAGUUUUGCAGAGAUACACAGACAAUAAGCUCAUCUAUGUAUCAUAAAUAAAUCCAAAAAACUUACACACUUUUAGGUAGUGUUGGAACCAUUCCGCAGAGCCAUUCUCCGUCUCACACCAAUUCUCUGUAGCGAUAUUCGAUCUUCUUUCAUGAAAUAGCAUACGCGGUUAUUUAUUUACAUUAAUAAUAUAAUACGCUAUAUCAAGGCAGCCGAAAAGCGAAACCAUGCUUAAAUAUCUUGGCAAAGAACAAGCGAAGCCUGUAAGCCAUACAAUCCUUAUAAAAAUUAAGAAAAGAAUACAUUCAAAGACUAGAAAAGCUGAUUUGAUUAAAUGCGAGAAAUAUGAUAAAACCAAUCAAUACUAAAACUCUCCCAUUGUUACUACUACUAAUCCUCUGGAAUAAUUAACAGAACAAAUAUUGAUAUUGAACUCUUUCAAAGAGAUGUCAGAUCAUGUACGAUAAAAUUGAGAACAGAUCCCAACUCAGCAUUAGAAUUAGAAAUCUUACACAAUAACAUAUAAUGGCACUCAAAGUUCCAUUACAAAGAGGCUAAAUUCAUAAGCCAAGCAGAUUUAAAAGGAUCACUGAUGUUGAGCGAGACCGCAAAGAUUAAUAAAAAAAGAGCAAGCAAUAACAAAAAAAUUAACCAACGGGUGGCCAAGACAUUAGGUGGCAAACACCCACACGUGUUGAGCCAAAAUCACAUUGACAAUAAAGCUUCGAUCCGGCGGUUAUUUAAUGGCUAUUCAUUUUAGGAAAAAAAAGGAUUUCUAACUGCUGUACAGGAUAAAGUGAUAUACGCAAAAACUAAGUGCAAAACGGUAUACAGAUGAAUGUCGAACAGCAGGAACUAUUAAACAUAUCACAUUAAGAUACACAGGAUGCACAUAUUUCGCGAACAGAGCGUACAAGUUUGUUACUAAUAAAUUUAAUGAAUU
Glossina fuscipes is the source of this 2876-nucleotide long non-coding RNA. RefSeq lists it as uncharacterized. The record is from RefSeq and is a predicted model, not a curated record. The transcript is spliced from 5 exons. Lineage: Eukaryota; Metazoa; Arthropoda; Insecta; Diptera; Glossinidae.